CAGCCGCCGCGGUAAAACAGAGGGUGCGAGCGUUAAUCGGAUUUACUGGGCGUAAAGCGUGCGUAGGCGGCUUCUUAAGUUGGAUGUGAAAUCCCUGAGCUUAACUUAGGAAUUGCAUUCGAUACUGGGAAGCUAGAGUAUGGGAGAGGAUGGUAGAAUUCCAGGUGUAGCGGUGAAAUGCGUAGAGAUCUGGAGGAAUACCGAUGGCGAAGGCAGCCAUCUGGCCUAAUACUGACGCUGAGGUACGAAAGCAUGGGGAGCAAACAGGAUUAGAUACCCCGGUAGUCCCUGUCUCUUAUAC
This 301-nucleotide ribosomal RNA is filed under the name uncultured bacterium. RNAcentral's name for it is "partial 16S ribosomal RNA". It matches the Rfam family "Bacterial small subunit ribosomal RNA", at positions 509 to 807 of the family's 1533-position model. The record is from RNAcentral.